Molecule: transfer RNA, 72 nt
Filed under: Marmota monax (woodchuck)
Lineage: Eukaryota; Metazoa; Chordata; Mammalia; Rodentia; Sciuridae
Description: tRNA.Ala
Rfam family: tRNA
About the family: Transfer RNA (tRNA) molecules are approximately 80 nucleotides in length.
Source: RNAcentral
GAGGAUAUAGCUCAGUGGCAGAGUACUUGCCCGGCAUGCAAGAGGCCCUGGGUUCCAUGCCCAGCAUCAAAA